CUUGCAGAUCACGAGACCUCGUCCGUUCUUUCCACCCAUCUCUCGUCCUGGCAGCAUCUCAGUCCCCAGCCGUCUUAUCGUUGGUAGUAGAGUCUAUCACUGCUGUGUCUGGAUGCAUCAGCCUCAGAAGCUGGUGGCUACAAGAGACGCUUGCAGAGCACUGCAUGCUUUGGCAUUGUGCACUGUGCUCAUGACCUGAAGCUCAGCAUCCUUCCCAGCAGAAUGGUAGAAAUGAGUUGGACAAAGCUGUGCGCUGGCUUUUUACCAUCAAGGCUAUGUCUUACAUUAUUCUCUCAGGGCAUCUUUUGUGCAGUGCAAAUGGAAAGACCAAGGGGCCAAGGAGCAAAGUGUACAAAUUCGAUUCCUGUGUCUACCCACAACUCUCUCUUUUGGUAGAGACUUGAUGUUCUGAAGUGUUAUGUGUGAACUGCUCCCAGUUUCUCAUCUGUUUAGGCCAGAAAUUAAAUGCUUCAAAAAUGCAGUGGGACAGAAAUAUUUGCCCUAUACGGAAAUAUAAGUAUUUCUGAAUAUUUAGCAUUUAGUGGAGUGCUUCAGACCUCUCCACUCCUUGAUGUCUGUGGUAAGUCUUUUGUAUGCUGCUUCCUUCCAGCUUUAUGUACCACAUGAUACCAAAUUACUGUAGCAGAGAUUGGGAAACCUCUGUUUAGCAGGUCUGGUUUACGGUUAUGCUAAAAAUAGAGGCAAAAUGUGCAACUCAUUUCAAAUACAAUUUCUUCACUGAGAUCACAGGAUCAUUUAAAGCUGUCCCAAUACUUAGGGUGAGUGUCCAGAUAGUCUGGACUUUUUUUUUUUUGAGUUUGGAAGUGGGACAACUUACUCACUGUGGAUGAUUCAUAUCUUUAUGUCCUAGUUUGAAGUGGUUCAUCACGCUGUGAUCACAACUCCAAAGGUGUCAGGUGAUCAUCAGACAGUACCUAUGCCUAUAAGAUGCUUUGUUUUUUUCCACUUUUCUAGAAUUUUCGUAACUUACUGACCUCUACCCCAAGCCCAAACAAUUUAGGUUCAAGAACAAUCAUUAGGAAACUCUUUACAAAACAAUUAAUAUAUUGAGUUCCUUAAUAGACAAAGCUCUGAAAGCCAAAGCUCUGAAGACUAAAGUGUGGAGAUAUUACCCUUCCCAUGGAUUCUUAAAGCACUUUUCCAUACUCUUUUGCAAAGGUUUUAUCUUUUGCAGUUUUAAAUCUUUUUGUCUAGACAGCAGUAAGUAACUGGCAUACCUUUCGGUCAAGAAUGGUGUGGUUAAAUCUUUCAGAUAAAUAUAGCUAGAUAUUUAAAUACGAAAAUAAAUGUCUAAAGCUCUACUUAUUAGUAGCAUCUGUCUCGUGCUUGAUGUGUACUUCUCAGAAAUAUUCUAAUACCUACAGUGGCUAUAUUUAAGCAACCUUGCUUCUGCUUUGGUGAUCACAUGUCAUGCCAUGCCUAUAUUGUUGAUUUUGUUGCUAAGCCCCACUGUGAGUUCUAGUUUCCAGUGUUUCAGAUUACAUGUUUAAACCCGGCCUUCCAACUGUUUCACGCUAUCCUGCAUGUCCUCAUCUACCGAAGCUGAUACUCUGGAGGCCCUCUCUUUCCACACUGGUCCACAUUGGCAUGAAAAAAUAAGUGGAAGGAGGAGUUAGGAUUACAGAUUUUUUGUUUAUGAUCGUUAUUGACUUUCCACUUUGGAAAUGUCACUAAGAGGAAGCCUUAGGAAUCACAUAUUGGGAGUAUGUGGUCAGCAGAUUGGCCUCUGCCACCUUCCCCCAUUCCUGGAGAAUUUCAUGUGCUCCCAACGAAAAAAUAAGGAAAAAAGCCCUGGAAAAUAUGAACCUGAGAGACAUCAAAGCUGAGAAACUGAAGACAACUAGGAGGAAAAACUCUACUUUAUAACUCUUUUCCAUAAGCCUUCUAUUUGAUAUUUUUCUUUAGGACAGAUAAAGAAAAAAAAAACGAUCUUCUGCACUCUUCUUUGGAGGAUUACAUUUAGGUCCAUCUGCGUUGCUGGAAGAGAGCUCUGUACACCUGUGAGGUUUCAAGUAACUUACAAUAUAAAGUGAGCAAAGAAACGCAAACAUCCUUACCACCAAGGCUAGGCGGGGCAGUACUGAAGGGAUUAUUCUAGCAACUCCUGAAAUGCAAAACCUUCUGUGGCAAGAGAGAAAAGGCAGUCUUGUGACUACGGCUCUGACCUAGAGGACAUGCUCUCUCCAAGUAUGACUUCAUUCAGGUAGUAAGACCAAGAACUGCAUUAAAAAACAGAAAGAUUGGCCCUAGGCAGACAGGGAAAAAACUGUGGUGAAGGGAUAUUCAGAAAAUCGUCAUGCUUCUCUGCAAGGUUCUCUGAAGAACUCCACUGCAAGAAAAUAAAAAUGGUAUACUUGACUGGGGAGAUAUUUUUCUAAUGGAUCUUGGUGCUUCAUCGUCUGGUUUGGCAGCCCAUGUCAGCCAUGAAAGUAUAUUUGGUAUGAGCACCCCAUUUCAUCAGAUAGGAAGUAACCAUGUGUUAUAACCUUUUGUUGACUUCUACACCGUGGUUCCUCUGGAAAAUAUGUAGUGAAGCUGUUGUUCCUGAUAUUUCUUGAGUAUGGAAUUUCCCUUAGGAAUACUCAAUUUAGACCAGUCCCCUGACCACUCUGAGGUUUGUCACAGAACAAACGUCUCCCUUGCCCGAGCAAGAUGGCCCCCUCCAGGAAAAAUGGCUCCUGAGGAACACUACAGCCUUCAACUAAAACAUAACUCUAGUUCGUCCUUCACGUGUGAAGCCAAUAAGGAUUCUCUACCACAAUUUUUGAACGUAUUUCCAAGUAUGGCAGGGUGCAGUGGCAGGCACAUAACAGGAAUUUUGGCAUGUAUUAGACGGUGCUCAACAACUCUGUUCUCUGAUCCAAACAUGCCCACCAAAAAUAACUUCAGUGAACAGCUUUUAUUUUAAUUAUUCCAGCGUGGGACUCAUGAAGUUUUGCCAACAGUCUGGUUUGUAAAGCUUUUUGUCUCUAAGCACAGAAACCCAUAUUGUGUAGUUAACUCCCCACUGGGAUUUUCCUGAUCCAUACAUAGGUCUGUUCUGCAACCUCAUCUUUCUUUACCUAUCACUUGCUUUUCAUGCUGUUCACCCCACUGACUCCUUGAAAGCUCCCCUUUCUUUGCUUUUGUGACUGUUCUUUCCCAACUCUCUCCUAAUUUUCUGUUUUCUCAUUCAACUCCACUUUUAGUGGCUGCUGGUGGAUAUUUGGUGGUUCCCUCAUAGUUCUGAUCUCUGCAGGGCUCUUUGUGAGCUCUGUGUGUGGGUUCCCCUCUCCCCUUUCUAUGCUCUCUGCCCUACCUACUGAAACUAUAAUAACAGAACAACUACAUUUUUUGCUAAUGACUUGAAGAUCUGCCUUUUCCUACCUGAUCUGUUUCCUUUUGUCACCGAAUCUUUCUGAGUUCUUCCCUAUUCCCUCUUCUUUUCCCCUUCCCUUCUCACCCAUGUCAUAAACCUCAAAAUAAAUGUAAGAAAAAAGCAUCCCUAUGGUUUCGCGGUAUAGACUUCUCUGUUCUGCAGAACCCUUCCAUGGCCCUGAGUUGACCGUGAUCAUUCUUCUCUCUUCAACUAUUUAUUUAACACUUUCUUUGUCCAAUUCUAAUUUGCUUUGUGAGGAAUCAUAUGCAAUUUGGAACAUGGCAAUGGUGCGGUAUUUAAGUGGUUUCUAUUACCUUGUAAGUAAUCUCAGAUAGGCAAUAAAUUGCCCCUUUCAAAAAGAAAAGACGUGAAAGAGAAAAAAAAUGGAGUCACUAUGAUGUUCAGUUUUGAUUAGGUUUAUUUCCUUUGGUUCAUUUCCUAAACAUGACAAAAGAAAGAGCCUUGGAAGGAAAGAGUGGGAACUUCCCAGAUCAGGAUAACAUAUAGCCUGGCAUUUCUCAGCACAGGCGUGGAUAAUUCAGAUCCCUUCAUACCUAGAGGGAAUGGAGCCCAGAUCUCCUGCAGUGGGAGGGAGCAUCCCAGCUGUAGUCCUAUUGCGCAAAGCUGCUGGCAGCACCAGCACCUUCUUCUCUCUUUGUUUUUGUGGAGGAGGGUGGAGAUCUCUGACUUGAGAUAGGCAACAAAAUUCCAUAGAGGCUUAAGAUAAUUCCAAUUUCCUGAGCAUUUCCUAAUGGCUAAUUUGGGCAGCUGCUGUUUGGGAUGUUUGCAUUCUUCAGUGCCCAAGGUCUGGAUCCCAGCAGGCAGGUACACACCUAGGAGUCAGGAGCAGCAAUUUUUUGGCACUGUGGGGCCAAAAUCCUGCUUGUGUCCAGACCAGAAUACUUGUCUGCACUUCAUUAAAUGUUUAGCGCUACCAUGCCUUGGUCUUUCUUGCCUUGAUAAGUACUACUAAUAUUAACAAUGUGGAUGACAUGAUAUUUGUUUUCAGCAUUUCUGUAACUUUCACAUGCCGUCUGUUACAACAUCUAUAAUACAAUGCUUAAAUGUGUGGAGCAAAACCAGAGGAAUAGCUUUGGAACAGCUAAAUUCACACACUAGUGCCGUUGAACUAGAUGAUCUCUGAAGAUUCCUUCAAACUGAAUAUUCUGUUCUGUUCUAUUAUCACAUUGAAGCUAAUAAAAAAAGCCUACAAGUUUCAAAAAAUGUGAGGGUAUUCUCCUGCCACAUGUGCCGUAUGUCCCUAAUAAGAUGUAAUGUUUUGUGAGAAUUCCUUCUCAUUCAAGAUAUUUUCAAACUGCUGGAUAUUCGUGUGCUGCUCUGUAUUUGACUCAGCCUGAAAUGAAAUAUCCAGCACUGGUGUGUUCAUUUUGUCUCACCUUUGGCCUGUACCUUGGUUCUGCUACCUUCCUUUCUGUGAAUAUGAAGUGGAGAGUAUGCAGUGGGAGACUGUCAAAAGUCUGGAGGUCCUUCAGUCUCAAAUUGCUUUUGAAAUUCUACUUUAGCAUCUCCAUAAGGCUCACAGAUAUUCUUGGCAAUUUCCAGUAGUCCUUAUCCAGAAGCAUUUAGAAUAUAAUUCAGAUGUAGAAUAGUAAAACUAAAGACAGAGAGAACAAAAGAGUGGAAUAACACUGCAUAUAGUUAGAAUAUCAGUGACUAUUAGGUGUAAAGGCUUGGAUAGAAGGACACAAUUAUUUUUCUUGAUUCACUGUGACAGCGUAAGAAAUCUUUCUAGAAGUCAGGUUUGAAUUAGAGGAGGGUUUUACACAAAGUCUGGAUGCUUAUUAGAGAAAGAGAUGCAAACACUGGACUUUGUUAUCUAGCAUAAAUAGUGGGAAAAAAUGGUUUGCUGAUCUUGUUCUCAUCAGUUUAUUUUCUCCCAAGGUACUGGUGCAUUUUCCCAUCUGUGAUUAAAAAUAUAGAUAACAAAGAAACUGUUGCCUUACAGUAAGUGUAAAGACAACAGAACCAGAAGCUGUGCUUUAUAGGAAGCAGGGGGAUGCUGCAAUAUUUGAGUAAGUAUUAGCCAGCAGUUUUUUGUUUUGUUUUGAUUCAGAUCAUCAGAAUUAAUGAAAGAGCUAUUACUUUAAAAAUUUUCAACUCUUAAAAAACAACGACCUCAGAUCUUGUCAGUUUGGUUCCUACUCACGGGAAAGUCACCAAAUCUCCCUUGUUUUGCUUGGGCCUCACUCAAACAUAACUGGCCUCAAGCUAGUAAGCAAGCCAGCAAAUGUCCUGGCUUGUAAAGAAAUCUGAUCCAACUCUGUAAACUGAACCCAGACUAAGAGCGGUGGUGAGGGGAACAUAUGGAAAAUUAAUGACAGAUAAUAGAAUGGUGGGACAGCCUUAAAUGAAAAAAAGAUUGUUAUUAAGUUUAUGCAGCAAUUCCAGCUAAUGGUCUUUUGGCUGGAGGGUCUUUUGAGCUAAGAAAGUUACAGAAUAGCUGAGCACUCCUUUUCACUUUGCCAGCACCAAAGCUCCAGAAAUGACUGCUGUACUGCCCUUACCACUUCUGCUUGUUCUUAAUUGAUACCUGUAGCAGAAUUACUUUAUAAGCUGGUUCAGCUGCGGCAGCAGUUUGGUAAGUACAGCAGUUCUGGUCCCACCUGUUUAAAUAAAUGGGAGCCUCAGGAAAAGGAGUGGAUUGGCAUUUGCUUGGGCUUAAACAGUGUAUGACAGCAAAAGCUAGGCUGAGAACUGCAAGCCUGGCCAAGCACUAGCAGGAGGUGGUAAGGGUGGAAUGGGUGUUUUCUUUUCUUCCUCCAUGGACCUCCAGGCAUUUUGCAAAGAUAAGCUGCUUGUGGUAUGGUGUCAUGAAUGGGGAAACUGUCCCAGGGAGCUCAAUAGUCACAUGGCCUCUCUCUGGUGAUGGGAAUGAGUUUCACAAUGAAAAGGAAAGAAGAAGGGAUCACUUUGAGGAAAGAGUGUAUAUUUCUGGAAUACUUGUGUCUUGUUUAUUUGGCUGUUGGUCUGGGGUGCUCAUCUAGCACAGACAUGAAACUAUGGUGCCACAUAGUAGUCACUUUUUGCUAAAAAGUGAUUUUUAUUUUAUUUUAUUUUAUUUGCCCACACUUGAAUUACUGCAGACCAGCUAAGAUGCCAAUUUUCUUCCUGGCUAAAGCCUAAAACACCCUUAUUCUUUCCCUUUCUCUUCAAGAUGGAGGACUAUGAAGCUGCCUUUACUUGCUGAGUAACUCAGGUGUGUCUCCAUUCCUUACCCCCAACUCCAGCUGAUCCCUCACCUUGAAGAAGGUUUUAUGUAUGUCUGAGGAAAGACAGCAAGGGCUAUGCUGAGGUAAAAGGACGAGUGGUGGUCUCCAUCUCUUUGCUGCUGUGUGACAGUCUAUGGCUGCUAGAUUACUGGUUUUGUUUCUUGGCGAGUAACUUAGAGGGAAGAGCAGAAUUUAUGCUCCUUCAGCUGUAGCCUCAGUACAGGAGAAAACUUGUUAUUUAGUCUUAAGUUUGUCUCUGUUCCCUUCAUAAGGUGUUUUUCUUUUAUAAUCUGAAGUGAGGACUGCAUGCUGUGAUCCUUGCAAAGCCAUUCCCCUUUCCCAGGAAUAUACCAUAACAUUAACACAGUGUCUAUAGUAUUUCUCAUUCUUUGCUCAUACUUGCAGUAUGGAGUAUGACACACCCUGUUAUCUAGCAAAAAGUAAAGUGUCAGCUGAAAUGGAGUGGCAGCAAAAAGUGUUUUAUACAUGGCUGUGAUAGAGGAGUAGGUCCUCACCCAGCUGAACAACAUCAUUACCAAAUGCAUUUCUGGCUUCAUUUGCCCUGCUGCGUGCCAGCAAAUGUUGAGCUUGAUGUUGAUUUGCCCACUCAGAGACCCUUUAUGGCCAAAAGUGGAAUAACUCACCUGGCAGUUAAAAUUUAAAAAUAAAUAAAAAUCUUGUUGCACUAUUUACCAUACCUUUCUUUUUCUUUCUGAACCUGUUAUUUUUGUGCCAAGAGAAUGUGCCAACAUUUAGUCAUAGAAGACCAAAUCCACAGUGACCCUUCCUAGAAGAGCCUUGAGAAGGCUCUGAAGAGGGCUGGGCUCAUGCAGGAUGUGUAAGGAGAGGUCUCUGACAUCUUCACUCUGCCCGACUGCUCUACUGGGAGAACGUAUUUUUCAAGUCAAAGAUUUUCAUUUGUUUUUCCUCUUUGCAUCUUUACUGCAGUUUAAAGAUGUAAUCUGGGAUCAAGAACCCAACAAAAAUGUGUAUUUUGUGGCUCACAUUACAUAGAUAAUCUGAUUAGAUCAUCACAAGGUUUCAUAUUAACCUUAAAAAUUGAUAUCUAUAAAGUAACAGAGUUGCAUAACAAAAAAUGCAAAUUCAAAACAUAAACAUAAAAAUACCUUUUAAAAAAUAUUAUAUACAUACAGAGUGGCAGCACUAAUACCAAUAGUGAAGCAGAAGUAUUUAAGAGGAAGGGGGAGUGACUUAGCAGGCUGUUUUUUUUUCCCCGAGAAGCAACUUUUAAAUCACUUUACGUGGCUCAGCAAUUGGGAAUCAGUAUCAAUAGGGAAGGAAAGAAAUAAGAAAUGUUUAGAAAUACUAAUGCUUCCAAACAUAAAUAUUGCCAUUUCUGUUUUGAUAAAUCUGUUCAAAUCCCUUCACAUUCCUGUGGAGGAGUAAAACAGCCUAAAGGUAAGACUUAUGAUGUAAAAGAGUGUUUUCUGUGACCUUGGCGAACCUAUGAACCGGCCAAGAAAGGUGAUGGCUCCAGAGGGCACAGCAUAUGUUUUGCUUUUCUAAUGUCCAGAAGAUUCAAUACAUCUGAAACAUAAGAGAAAAAUUUCCUGCAGGGCAGUAGAGAUAUCCUACUGACAAGAGGGAGCUGUAUUCUUUUCUCAUCACCUCAUAAACAGUGGGGUUCUGACGAAGGAUGUUAGGUAAUGUGUGCCAUAUACAGAACUCAAAGGGGGUAUUACUUUCAUUGUAUAACCCUUUAAGAUCUGAGCCAGUGUUGUUUAACAAAGCAUACUGUUUUUCUCUCUUGCUUUUACUGAGCUUUGAUGCUGAUUUUAGAACUUGACAGCUCUGUUUAGACUUGUCUUACAUCUCCCAUAUAGAGGAGUGGGGGAAAUAUAGAUGUUCAGGGCAGCAGGCAAAAUAAACUGCAUAAAAAGGCAGGAUUUGCCAUGGGGAAUUGUGGGAUAUGUCUGCAAAGCUAUUCUUCUAGCCGUCCUCCUUUGGGGAGGAGUUCUCAGACCUGUACUAGGUGCUGAUCCCUUAUACACUAGUUGGGAGAACCUCGUGUCUCAGGAGGGGAUUUGUUGCCCCCUUUAUGCCACUAUAGAAAAUAUUAUAGAAGGGUCAAGUGUGGUUAGGUGUCAUCCUUCAUAAGGGUAUUUGUUUGGGAUUGUGAUCCAGAAGAAUUAAGAGACCCUUAGGGCAGUCUGAUUUUCCUUGUAGCAUUCCUCUUUGUGACAGUACUUAAGUAUGAGUAUGUUGUGUGACAAAAUAAUUAUGGUGGAAAAAAUAUCCAUUAUUAAUGGAUUCCAGAACUGAAAAAGUCAGAACAUAGACUGCAGUAGCUGUAGAAUGAAACAAAAAUGUCUUUUGUCAUUACUUUCAAAUCCCUAACAUCAAACUAAAUUUAACUUGUAAAUAAUAUUAACCUGAUAAACCGCUAAAGUUCAUCUUUUAUAGCUUUUGAGAGAUGUGUAAAGUUCAUGUCUGUUCAGUAGCUGAGGUUUUUCAGAUGGCCUAUCUUUGAUUUAUUUGAAAACAGUGUGGACAUUAAGUAUCUAAAACAGAUGAAAACUGUGAAGUAGCCCCAUUUCUGUAGAUCUCCAAGGAGAAUCUCUUGAAAUAUUUCAGAAAAAUUCUACAGUGAGAACCAUGGUUUGGAGCCAAAAAAGGAGAAGACAGAAAAUCUAGGGACAUUCAAAGCUCUAAGGAAAUAGAAGUCAGACAGAAUCCUGUUAAAUGUCAAAAUAUCUUUUUUUUUUCUUUCUUUCUCUUUACUAUUCUCUGUAAUAACAGAAGACUGAAGAGUAUUCAUUCUUCUCAGCUACCAUAAAAAAGCAUGGCACUGAGGUCUCUUAGUGAAUUGUGUGGCACAAAAUUUAUUUGUUUUUUUUUUUUUCUUUGUUAGUGAGAAUAACAUUUGCAUAAUGUUUGAUUAAGCCAUAGGUCACUCGGGGAAGAGCUCCUGAGUUUCAGCAAGAUUAUAUCUAAAGGAAGAUGCAAAACUGCAGAUCACUUCUGAUGCUCUUCAUGUGCUAUGUGUGCAUGUUCUUGUUUCAAAGCCUGAGUGAAUUUGUUGAGCGUGAAGCCUUUAUAGCAGCUUCUCUGUAGGAAUGCUACCUCCCAAGACCAUAAGCAUGUCUAUUCUGUGAAUACACCUCCCUCGCUCUGAUAUGGAAUGUCUUCACCUUCAUUUUAACACCUUUUCUUCAGAAUUCAUUUGCUUUUGGCAGCUGAGGAAUAGGGCCUGAUGAGCAACCCUUGCCAUCUAUUGCACAUAUUUUGAACACAUCUUUACCUGGGUAUCAGAAACAAGGAUAACUUAAUAUUUGCCUCCAUUAACCGUUUCACAACUGAUCAGUUUACCAGAAAUGUCAAAUCAAUAUACUUUUAUGCCAAUAGAUUACUGUCUGUGAAUGGCUGGUAUCACUUCUAUCCUCUAUAAAUGGAACUUAGCAUUUCAUAGGUCUUACUUAGGCACUGAACACGGAACCUGUAAGUAUUCUCAUAGAACAAAAUAUAUAACAGAAUUCUCACUUCUGAUCUAAGAUGUUACACAAACAUCCUCUUUGUUUAGCCCCCAAUUUUGGGCCACCUUAGAGAUGGACAAUUUAAAAAGAUCUCAAACUAUUUUGCAAUAAUUUAGAUCCAGACCCAAACUUCAUUGCUUGAAGUGGUCUUCAGUUCCAAGCCACUGUCUGGUAGAAAUGUCUGGAAUGUGGAGUAUUGUAUUUACAAACAAAGCAAAAGAGUCCUUAAUAGCCGCUCCAUCAUUUAGCUAAACAAAAUCCUGUACCCACGCUAUCCUGGAAGAAGGGAAUGGUAAGGAUGGGAGGAAUUAUGGGAAAAAAAAAAGAUUGAAAUAAAACUGUGUACAUAGUGACCAGAAUUAAUCAUUUUGAGGCUUAGAACAAAGGUGAAAUAAAUAACUAAUUAAAUAAGUAAAAUAAAACCUCUGCCUUCAUCCCAUAAAACUCUUAAAAAGCUAGUAACAGAAUUCAGAGGGUCCAGUGUUCAAUUCCAAAGAAAACUCUAUGAAAGGCCAGGAAGCCAUUUCUGCUUGGUUACCCUUAAGCAAAGGAUCAAAGCAGAAAGGUAUCUCUUUUCCAUAUAUAACUUUGAAAUAUUUUAAGAAGCAAGUCAGAAAAUGGAUCUUAAGAACAGUUAUUCUUAGGCUGACUUGCAUCAGAGGAAUGAUUAAGAAAACUAUAAUAUCUCUUUGGGAGAUGUGCCUUUACCGUAUUGCACAGCAAACUUCAUCUGUCUCUUGUAAUUUUGGGUCUGUUUGAAAAAAAAAAAAAAAAAAAAAAAAAAAAAAAAAAACAAGAAAGAGCGGGACAGGUUUUUAUUGCCCUCUCUCAUAAGUCUUCCAUAUGCUUCCAUGUCCAUGUUUUGUUUUCAAUUUUAGUGAAGGUUUUUAUUUGGAGACUCAUAAAAUUCUACUUUAUUACAGCUUCUUUUUAUAAAAUGGAGGGGGUAGGAGGGAAAUAUUGAGAUAGCAUGUGCAAGGCAACCUCAAGGAAUGAAUUCGUGAAUUUAAAGCAUCAUUCAGCUUAUCAGCCCCUGCUUCAGUUAUUGGCAAAUACCUUUCCUCAUUCUCUAACCUGUGAUUAUAUAUUCUCACUGUGUAGAUAGAAAGUCUAAGUGACUUUACAAGCAUAUUAACGUACAUUCUUUUUUGAGGGGUAUGGAAUUCAAGUGCUGGACCUCUAAAAAUCUUAAAUAGGUCAUGCUGGUGCAUAAUAGGUGUACUAAGUGAUGGUAAAGAGAACUGUCUCCUGAAAAAUAUCUCUAAAAAUCACAUAGUCGUGUUAAAACUUUACGAUCUUGUGGGGCUGCAUUACUAGCUGUCCAGAACCUCAUGCAGCCUAAUGGGCCAUGUUUUGGACGUGCCUGGUCUAGAUGGGUUGAGCCUGGUGGGGAACAGAGCACUGAGUGCUCUUGAAUGUAGAUGGGGUUGUGCUUGACUUGGUCUGCAUUGUCACAUUUGUGAUUUGUUUAGAUAGCAAAACUAGUCAACAAACAUAUCCAGGUUCACCUGCAGUACCUGAUCCUGCUCUGUUUUCAGGAAUGGGUCAUGGUUCAGUCUCAGCCGGAGAUCUUGUUCUGGAGCAGGAUUU
This is a long non-coding RNA of Numida meleagris (helmeted guineafowl), 11693 nucleotides long. RefSeq lists it as uncharacterized. The record is from RefSeq and is a predicted model, not a curated record. NCBI's taxonomy places the organism in Eukaryota, Metazoa, Chordata, Aves, Galliformes, Numididae. The transcript has 4 exons.